RNAcentral lists this long non-coding RNA (409 nucleotides) under Homo sapiens (human). RNAcentral's name for it is "HSALNT0399425". The record is from RNAcentral. Lineage: Eukaryota; Metazoa; Chordata; Mammalia; Primates; Hominidae.
CUCAUUGUCUUUCGCUGCCACCAUGUAAGAAGAGUCUUUUGCCUCCCGUCAUGAUUCUGAGGGCUCCCCAACUACAUAGAACUAUAUUUCUUCAAAGAACAAAAAAAAACCAGUAUGAAGCAUAUGAAACUUCAAGCAGAACAAACUUGGUUUGUCUCCUUCCAGAGAAAAGGUACUGAAGUUCCCAUACCUGUAGAGCUGCAAAGAUCAACAUUUCUUCCUCUGUGCAAUCAAUUUCUUCUAAGAGAAUGGCCCACCUGGCUUGCUCAUAGAGUUGGUUUAUUCGGACAGCAUCAUACUAGAGACAAAAACAGAGGUGUGUGUGUAAUGAGGUAUAUUUAUAUCCCACAAUACAAAGAUUCUGAAACAACUGAGGCCAUUCUCUGUUAAUCAGAUGCAGCAAACUUCA